UACAGAGGUGGCAAGCGUUGUUCGGAAUUACUGGGCGUAAAGGGCGCGUAGGCGGCCUUCUAAGUCGAACGUGAAAUCCCUGGGCUCAACCCAGGAACUGCGUCCGAUACUGGGAGGCUUGAAUCCGGGAGAGGGAUGCGGAAUUCCAGGUGUAGCGGUGAAAUGCGUAGAUAUCUGGAGGAACACCGGUGGCGAAGGCGGCAUCCUGGACCGGUAUUGACGCUGAGGCGCGAAAGCCAGGGGAGCAAACGGG
Molecule: ribosomal RNA, 253 nt
Filed under: uncultured bacterium
Lineage: Bacteria
Description: partial 16S ribosomal RNA
Rfam family: Bacterial small subunit ribosomal RNA
Source: RNAcentral